UACGGGGGGGGCAAGCGUUGUUCGGAAUUACUGGGCGUAAAGGGCUCGUAGGUGGCCAACUAAGUCAGACGUGAAAUCCCUCAGCUUAACUGGGGAACUGCGUCUGAUACUGGAUGGCUUGAGGUUGGGAGAGGGAUGCGGAAUUCCAGGUGUAGCGGUGAAAUGCGUAGAUAUCUGGAGGAACACCGGUGGCGAAGGCGGCAUCCUGGACCAAUUCUGACGCUGAGUGAGCGAAAGCCAGGGGAGCAAACGGG
RNAcentral lists this ribosomal RNA (254 nucleotides) under uncultured bacterium. RNAcentral's name for it is "partial 16S ribosomal RNA". It matches the Rfam family "Bacterial small subunit ribosomal RNA", at positions 524 to 776 of the family's 1533-position model. The record is from RNAcentral.